AGAGUUUGAUCAUGGCUCAGAUUGAACGCUGGCGGCAGGCCUAACACAUGCAAGUCGAGCGGUAGAGAGAAGCUUGCUUCUCUUGAGAGCGGCGGACGGGUGAGUAAUGCCUAGGAAUCUGCCUGGUAGUGGGGGAUAACGUUCGGAAACGGACGCUAAUACCGCAUACGUCCUACGGGAGAAAGCAGGGGACCUUCGGGCCUUGCGCUAUCAGAUGAGCCUAGGUCGGAUUAGCUAGUUGGUGGGGUAAUGGCUCACCAAGGCGACGAUCCGUAACUGGUCUGAGAGGAUGAUCAGUCACACUGGAACUGAGACACGGUCCAGACUCCUACGGGAGGCAGCAGUGGGGAAUAUUGGACAAUGGGCGAAAGCCUGAUCCAGCCAUGCCGCGUGUGUGAAGAAGGUCUUCGGAUCGUAAAGCACUUUAAGUUGGGAGGAAGGGCAGUAAAUUAAUACUUUGCUGUUUUGACGUUACCGACAGAAUAAGCACCGGCUAACUCUGUGCCAGCAGCCGCGGUAAU
Molecule: ribosomal RNA, 521 nt
Filed under: uncultured Pseudomonas sp.
Lineage: Bacteria; Pseudomonadati; Pseudomonadota; Gammaproteobacteria; Pseudomonadales; Pseudomonadaceae
Description: bacterial SSU rRNA
Rfam family: Bacterial small subunit ribosomal RNA
Source: RNAcentral